This is a long non-coding RNA of Gymnodraco acuticeps, 366 nucleotides long. RefSeq lists it as uncharacterized. NCBI's taxonomy places the organism in Eukaryota, Metazoa, Chordata, Actinopteri, Perciformes, Bathydraconidae. The transcript has 2 exons. The record is from RefSeq and is a predicted model, not a curated record.
UGCAAUUUAAGGGAUUCCAGCUGCUUUUAUAAAUCCUCACAGAAUAAGUCAUUCGUUCUUUCACGAUGGCCGAACAACAAGUUGAAACAGCGGUGUGGUGACCUGGAAGAAGUACUCUGUGGAGUACACCAAGACCUACAGGAUCCCGUUCCAGAUCUCCAGCUGCAUACAGUGCCGCAACCUGUACAAGGACUCGGAAGGCUACAGGGGACAUGGCCGCAGAGGACAACUCUCUGGGAUGUACUCGGAAGAUGAGCUGGCAGGAUUCUGCAGCAUUGACUGUUUCUAUGAUGCUGGAGGCACCUUCCAAGAAAAUGGCUGAUGGGGUUAAUAAUAAUUAGAACAGCCAAUAAAAUGUUUGUUUAA